UGUCUAUAGCGCUCCUUCUUGGGACUCACCAAAAUAGGGUGCUAUAGAGAGGGGGUGCUAUAGACAGGUCACUUUUAAUGUAAAUCACAUCGUACUACAUACAGUUAAACCUGUCUAUAGCGCCCCCUCUUGGGACUCACCAAAAUAGGGUGCUAUAGAGAGGGGGUGCUAUAGACAGGUCACUUUUAAUGUAAAUCGCAUCGUACUACGUACAGUUAAACCUGUCUAUAGCGCUGCCUCUUGGGACUCACCAAAAUAGGGUGCUAUAGAGAGGGGGUGCUAUAGACAGGUCACUUUUAAUGUAAAUCGCAUCGUACUACGUACAGUUAAACCUGUCUAUAGCGCUCCCUCUUGGGACUCACCAAAAUAGGGUGCUAUAGAGAGGGGGUGCUAUAGACAGGUCACUUUUAAUGUAAAUCGCAUCGUACUACAUACAGUUAAACCUAUCUAUAGCGCCCCCUUUUGGGACUCACCAAAAUAGGGUGCUAUAGAGAGGGGGUGCUAUAGACAGGUCACUUUUAAUGUAAAUCGCAUCGUACUACGUACAGUUAAACCUGUCUAUAGCGCUCCCUCUUGGGACUCACCAAAAUAGGGUGCUAUAGAGAGGGGGUGCUAUAGACAGGUCACUUUUAAUGUAAAUCGCAUCGUACUACAUACAGUUAAACCUGUCUAUAUCGCUCCCUCUUGGGACUCACCAAAAUAGGGUGCUAUAGAGAGGGGGUGCUAUAGACAGGUCACUUUUAAUGUAAAUCGCAUCGUACAACGUUUAUAAAAUCGGGCGCUAUAGAGAGGGAGGCGCUAUUUAGAGGGGGCGCUAUAUGUUUGGUGUUUAUAUUUUUAUAAUUAAGAAUGUGAUUUGUAUAAAUUGUUUAUUAAACUUUAUACUGAUCUUUUUACAUCACCACGUUGUUUACAUUCUACAUCUUAUUCUUGUUGUUUAUAAUGAUGAUAUAUAUUUAUUCACAGAUUAAUAGGAUAUAUAUAUAUUUAGUCCCAAACACUAUGGACAGGUUUAACUGUAUUAUCAUAAUUCUUUACAUCAAUAAUAAAGUAAGAAACUAUCAGGAUUCAAGGGCGAGAUUCCUUUAUUUAAAAUUUGAAUCCACAAAUCUCACUGUAGUAAGGUUUUCCUGUCUGAAAGUUAGAGAUUGGUGAAUUAAAAUUUAAAAAAGAAACUUCUCCCUAGUUCUCAACCUGCAUCCCCAAAACACAUUAUUGACUUUAUUGACUCAUCCAUUGAUGAGCUCUACACAUCCCCAGCAGACACCAUCAAAAGUCUCAAGCUUUAUAAGCUUGAUACUUAAUAUGAUUGAGUGGAGAUAAGAAAGAAGAAGGAGAAGACUAACUUACUGAAGUAUUGCUUCUAGGUUUGAAAACUUGAGAAAUAAAAGAAAUGUAAAAAUAAACCUAUCCCUUGAUUCUUCUUCUUCUUUCUUAUCUCCACUCAAUCAUAUUAGGGUAUCAAGUUGUGACCCUUGAUAGUGUCUGUUUGACAACCAUCAUGACUGGGUGAAGUAGAAUGCCUUUGUCAUUAAGACUGAGAGCACUACUCAGUGGCAGGCCGACUUAGCUCCAAAAGAAAUGGCCGCCUCUGAAAUGAGGAACAGAUGCCAUUUGCAGCUUCUCCUAACAUGGAGUAUGAACUUAAGAAAGAAGAAGAAGAAUUCUCCCUGGAAACCAUAUAUCUUUUAAAAUACGGUCAGAUAUUUAUUGGUGAUGACCCGAAACUGGAGAAGGGGCACUUCAAAGCUAUCCUCUAAAAAAAAAUGAGGUCAAGUUGACCGCUAUAAGUGGCGUGUACUCCAUCAUGCCUAUGUCAUCAAUACCCGAUCAUUACAAGAAACACCAUCCUCUUCGCUGGGUGAAAGUAUUACAUUAGAGAUGAAUGUCACCAAGAUUUCUUCAUUUUGGUGAAUAUCGACUUAAAGUUUUGGCAUCCCAUGAGAGCAUGGCAUCCUCAGUUUACCAUUCAAGUGAGCAAUUCUGUUGUAUCUUUUAUACGGGUUCAUUUACCUUUAGCUUUAUAUAUAUUUAAUAUAGUUACAGCCUUUAUGUAUAUAGACAAUUAAUAUACCGCCGUGCUAGAACAAUUAUAUAUUUAUUAUGCGGCGUUGUUUACAUACAUACUGUGUUGCCAGAUCUUUUAGUAGCACAGAUUAUAACUAUAUACAACAUGUUCCCCUUUUAAUUAAAGUCCGGGGUCGAAUCUCUUUGGAGGCUUUACCACACGUCCACUUCUAGUGGUGUAGGCAGUGCCUCCUUCAUUGUAGUUUCCUAUGGGAGUUGUUGAAGUGGAUAGGGCCAACUCUUCAGGACUGAGGUUCAGGCGGGGAAAUUCUCCUGGUUCCCUUUGACCACUGGACUCCGAUGAUGUCGAGGGGGCUGGAUCCAAUUGGGGCGAUGACUGGCUGCUCCUUCUCUGUCCAACAGGAUAACUUCUGGGCCGUAGGUGAACUCUGUUCCGUUUUAACAAUCGGCCCUCGUUGUUCUGAAUGAUGUAUGAUCGAGGCUGGUUGGCUUCUCCAAUGAUGGUAGCUGGUCUCCAGGCAUUGCUAGUUUUGGCAUUUACCUGUUCACCAGAACUCAUUUUAGGAAGUAUUUUGGCAUUUCGGUCAUAAUAUUUUUUCAUCUUAUAUUGAUUUUCCCUCUUCUGCUGUAGAAUGUUUUCCGUGCUAAUGAAAGCAGGUUUUAGCUUUGUGGUUUUCAUUGGGAUCAAGGUUCUCAAGUUUCUUCCCAUUAGCAUCUGAGCUGGGGACGGUAGAUUAUUUGACGGAGUUGUUCUCAGGGCUAUUAAACACAUAUAAGGAUCAGUGUUGUCUUGACGGCAUUUCUUAAGUUGCUGCUUUACUGUUUGCACCAUCCUCUCCACUAAUCCGUUUGAUUUUGGGUAUCCUGGGCUAGAGGUUUUAUGUUCUAUGUCCCAUUCAUUUGUAAAAUUAGUAAAGUCUUGUGAUGUAAAUGGUGGUCCAUUAUCAGUGAUGAUGAUCUCUGGAAUCCCAUGUCUUGCGAAGGUAGAUUUCAAAACUGGUAGAAUCUCUUUUGCUGAAGUUGAUGCUACCUUGAUGACUUCAGGAAAGCUGCUGUAGUAGUCUACUAUUAUUAUGAAUACAGAUUGGUCUAGAUAGAAGAAAUCAAUAGCUACUUUUUGCCAAGGGUAGUCUGCUAUUUCGUGAGGUAUAAGUGGUUCUUUCCUUUGCGAAGGUUGUGAUUCUUGACAAAUUCUACACUUAUAAACCAUCUCUUCUAUUUCUCUAUCCAGUCCAGGCCAAUAAAUAGCUUCAUGUGCUCUGUUUUUACAAGCAGAGAUCCCUUGAUGAGACAUGUGUAGUGUUUGCAAGAUGCUUUCCCUUUGGACUUUAGGGAUGACAAGUCUUUGUCCUCUACAAAUCAGGUCUUUCCAUAUAUAUAGUUCUUCUUUACAAUGCCAGUAGGGCUUAACAGCAUAGUCCACACUUUUCUUAUGAAUAGGCCACCCAUUCAGUAUAUGAUCCCUUAAUUUUAUCAUUUCUUCAUCUGACUCCAUAUCUCUGAGAAUUUCCUGGUAUCUUUUAGUGGUCACCUUCAGAUUUAGAGUCAUAAUGGUGUUCUGGAGAUCCAGAUCUGAGGUGUCGAUGGUUUCCUCUGAAAUUGAAUCUCUAGAUAGAGUGUCUGCGGUGUGAAUCACUUUUCCUGGUACAUAUUCUAAAUUAAAAUCAUAUCGCAUCAAUUUCAAGACCAGUCUUUCAAGUCUUGGAGAUAAUUCCUCUAGUGGCUUUUUUAGUAUAGCCAACAAGGGUUUAUGAUCCGUCUGGGCUGUGAACUUUCUUCCAUACAAAUGAUAGUUAAAUCUUUGGCAUCCAUACCAGAGAGCUAAGAGCUCCUUUUCAAUCUGGGCAUAUUUUUUCUGAGUGUUAUUCAAGGAUGCGGAUGCAAAAGCGAUGGGUCUUCCCUCUUGCAUCAAGACAGCCCCAAGCCCAUGUUGACUAGCGUCCACUGAAAGUGUUACCUUCCGAUGGGGGUCAAAGAGGCCAAGAACUGGAGGAUUUGAUACCAAAUUUUUCAGCUCAAUGAAUUCUUUUUCUAUAGCCUCAUUCCAUGUCCACAGGGUAUUCUUUUUUAGGAGUUGUCUUAACAAGACAGUUUUAUCUGCCAGAUUAUGCAUGAAUUUAGCUAGAUAGUUCACAGUUCCCAAAAAUCUUUGAAGAGAUGUCUUGUCCAUUGGUCUUUUUAUUUUUUGUAUUGCUUCUAAUUUAGAUGGAUCUGCAGAGAUGCCAUUCUUGGAUAUCUCAUGUCCAAUGAACUUAACUUUUUCUUGGGCCAGUUGCAUUUUAUUGAAUUCAAACUUUAAAUUAUUUUUUCUAGCAAUUUCCAAAACCGUAAUCAGUCUACUAUUGUGCUCCGUGAGGGAGUUUCCGUAUAUUAUUAUAUCAUCCAUGUAUACUUUUACUCCUUCAAUUCCUGUAAACAUACUUUGCAUUUUUUUAUAGAAAACUUCUGGAGCGCUGCAAAUACCAAAGGGUAACCGAUGGAAUCUGUAAUACCCAUAAGGUGUAGCCAUUGUUAAAAGGCUAGAUGACUUUUCGUCUAACUUGAUUUGCCAAAAGGCUGACUUAGCAUCAAGUACUGUAUAGAUGGGUGAUUUUGUGAUAUCAGCAAUGAUGCCUUCAGGGGCAGGAAGUUGACGAUAUUCCAUUUUAAUCCAUGGAUUUAGCUCUCUAGGGUCCAUACAGAUACGAACCUUUCCAUUUGGUUUCUUAAUGAUUACCAUCGGGUGUGCCCACUCUGCUGGUUGGUCUACCUUUGAGAUGAUCUUUUGUUCCUCCAUCGAUUUUAGCUCCAUCUCAACUGGUUUUUUUCAGUGCAAACGGAAUUCGGCGAGCUAACUGAAUUCUUGGAUGUGCAUUUUCUCUCAGGAUCACAGAAUGCUCUCCAGGGAGUGUUCCGAUCUCAUCAAAGACAUCUCUGUAGGACUCUAUUAUCUUUGUAGGUGAAGCAUCCAUCUUUGUCCUAGUAUGGUCCUGUUCCAACGACUCUACUUUUAAUAUCAGCUCUAAUUUUUUACACGCUGCCAAUCCCAAAAUUGGUGGAGCUGGCAAAUCCACGACUAGAAAUUCAAGGAUUUCAGAUUUUUUCCCAGAGGUACAUGAAGCCUUGCAUUUGCCCCUUAUUGGUACUUUUUCUCCUGUAUAUGAAUAAACCGCAAUCCCAGUUGGAUAUAUGCAGGGUUUAUUUUGCCAAUUUUUAAUGGUAUCCAAUGGCAGGAUGUUCACCUGUGCUCCUGUGUCUAAUUUAAAAUUAACUGAAUUAUUCUCCACCAAGAUUAUUUUAGUCCACUCUAGACCAGUAAUGCUAUCUAGGGAUAGGUAUUGAAGACACAUUUCUUCUUCCUCUUCCGCUCUUUCCUCCAACAUAUGCACUCUGUUCCUACACAUUUUAGCAAAAUGGUUUGGUUUUUUACAUGAAUUGCAUAUUUUACCAUAUGCAAAACAUUUACCAUAUGGAUGUCUGGAACCACAAUUUUGGCAAACCUUUGCAUUAGGAUGUUCCUCAGAUACAUUAGGUUUUCUACCAACUGGAUAUUUGAAAUUCUUUUUAUAUUGCUUUUUAUAUUUUAUAGAAUGUAAAUCAACAUCUUCUCUAGUUAUAUUUUUUACUUGUUGUCUAGAAGUUUCAGUAGCUCUUCCCAAGUCUAUGGCUUUAGCUAAAGAAAGAUCAGGAUCUUGUAGCAUCCUUUCUUUUAAAGCUUUGUCUUUAAUUCCAAUUAUAAUUCUAUCUCUGACCAAGGAAUCUGCAAGCUCUCCAAAUUCGCAGUCCAUGCUUUUAUUUUUCAAUUCAGUUACAUAGUCAUCAAAAUUCUGAUUCUCCCCUUGUUCCGUUGUAAAAAACUGGUACCUCUUAUAGGUUGUGUUUUUAUAUGGUUUAAAGUGUCCAUCAAACAGUUCAAGUAUAUCCGGAACAGUCGGAGAGGCAUCAGUUUCUUGUAUUUUAAAUGUAGAGUAUAUAUCUAGGGCUAACUCACCAAUAUUAUAGAGUAGAAUAGCCCUUUGUCUUGGAAUAGAUUUUUUAUCUAUUUCUGUGGCUAUGUAAAACAUUUGGAAUCUCUUUUUCCAUUUACCCCAUGCUUCUGAUGGGUUUGUUCCAGGCACAAAUGGCUGCAAACUAUUCCCGGUACUCGAGGCCAUUUUUCAACGUGUUAGGCUUAAUUGAUAUUUGAAAUUUUACUUAUCUUUCAAAAUCCCGGCGCUGCCACCAUGUUGUAUCUUUUAUACGGGUUCAUUUACCUUUAGCUUUAUAUAUAUUUAAUAUAGUUACAGCCUUUAUGUAUAUAGACAAUUAAUAUACCGCCGUGCUAGAACAAUUAUAUAUUUAUUAUGCGGCGUUGUUUACAUACAUACUGUGUUGCCAGAUCUUUUAGUAGCACAGAUUAUAACUAUAUACAACAAAUUCCUUGCUUCAUAAUAAUCGGUUUAAGAUAUUUAAUGGGAAAAGUUGUCGCAUUUUCUGAAAUUUGGCUUAUAUUAUCCUCUUCAUGAGUUGAUGAUUGCACAUGCAACCAAGGUAUUUUAGAAUUAUACAGAGUGUGUAAUAGAAUGGAUGUGGUUAAAAGGAAUUUAUUUUAAAAUGAGAAUUUUUCAAAACAAUCAACAAUGGUUUUAGCUGCUAGGAUAUGAGGUCACAGAUUUGUUGAUUCUGCUUUUGCCUUUUAAAACGAUUCACGCCGAAGCCGUCUGUUGAAAAAGUCUCAUUCUCUGCCAUAGAAGACGGCGGAACUGUGCUCACACCUAAGCCGUCCGUUGAACAAAUCUCAUUCUCUGCCAUAGAAGACGGCGGAACUGUGCUCACACCGAAGCCGUCCGUUGAACAAAUCUCAUUCUCUGCCAUAGAAGACGGCGGAACUGUGCUCACACCGAAGCCGUCCGUUGAACAAAUCUCAUUCUCUGCCAUAGAAGACGGCGGAACUGUGCUCACACCGAAGCCGUCCGUUGAACAAAUCUCAUUCUCUGCCAUAGAAGACGGCGGAACUGUGCUCACACCGAAGCCGUGCUUUGAACAAGUCUCAUUCUCUGCCAUAGAAGACGGCGGAACUGUGCUCACACCGAAGCCGUCCGUUGAACAAAUCUCAUUCUCUACCAUAGAAGACGGCGGAACUGUGCUCACACCGAAGCCGUGCAUUGAACAAGUCUCAUUCUCUACCAUAGAAGACGGCGGAACUGUGCUCACACCGAAGCCGUCCAUUGAACAAGUCUCAUUCUCUGCCAUAGUAGACGGCGGAACUGUGCUCACACCGAAGCCGUCCAUUGAACAUGUCUCAUUCUCUGCCAUAGUAGACGGCGGAACUGUGCUCACACCGAAGCCGACCAUUGAACAAGUCUCAUUCUCUGCCAUAGAAGACGGCGGAACUGUGCUCACACCGAAGCCGUCCAUUGAACAAGUCUCAUUCUCUGCCAUAGUAGACGGCGGAACUGUGCUCACACCGAAGCCGUCCAUUGAACAAGUCUCAUUCUCUGCCAUAGAAGACGGCGGAACUGUGCUCACACCGAAGCCGUCCGUUGAACAAGUCUCAUUCUCUGCCAUCGAAGACGGCGGAACUGUGCUCACACCGAAGCCGUCCAUUGAACAUGUCUCAUUCUCUGCCAUAGAAGACGGCGGAACUGUGCUCACAUCGAAGCCGUCCAUUGAACAUGUCUCAUUCUCUGCCAUAGUAGACGGCGGAACUGUGCUCACACCGAAGCCGUCCUUUGAAUAAGUCUCAUUCUCUGCCAUAGAAGAUAGCGGGACUGUGCUCACAGCGAAGCCGUCCGUUGAACAAGUCUCAUUCUCUGCAAUAGUAGACGGCGGAAUAGUGCUCACACCGAAGCCGUCCAUUGAACAAGUCUCAUUCUCUGCCAUAGAAGACGGCGGAACUGUGCUCACAUCAAAGCCGUCCGUUGAACAAGUCUCAUUCUCUGCCAUAGAAGACGGCGGAACUGUGCUCACACCGAAGCCGUCCGUUGAACAAGUCUCAUUCUCUGCCAUAGUAGACGGCGGAACUGUGCUCACACCGAAGCCGUCAAUCGAACAAGUCUCAUUCUUUGCCAUAGGAGACGGCGGAACUGUGCUCAGACCGAAGCCGUCCAUUGAACAAGUCUCAUUCUCUGCCAUAGAAGACGGCGGAACUGUGCUCACACCGAAGCCGUCCAUUGAACAAGUCUCAUUCUCUGCCAUAGAAGACGGCGGAACUGUGCUCACAUCAAAGCCGUCCGUUGAACAAGUCUCAUUCUCUGCCAUAGAAGACGGCGGAACUGUGCUCACACCGAAGCCGUCCGUUGAACAAGUCUCAUUCUCUGCCAUAGUAGACGGCGGAACUGUGCUCACACCGAAGCCGUCCGUUGAACAAGUCUCAUUCUCUGCCAUAGAAGACGGCGGAACUGUGCUCACACCGAAGCCGUCAAUCGAACAAGUCUCAUUCUUUGCCAUAGGAGACGGCGGAACUGUGCUCAGACCGAAGCCGUCCAUUGAACAAGUCUCAUUCUCUGCCAUAGUAGACGGCGGAACUGUGCUCACACCGAAGCCGUCCGUUGAACAAGUCUCAUUCUCUGCCAUAGUAGACGGCGGAACUGUGCUCACACCGAAGCCGUCCGUUGAACAAGUCUCAUUCUCUGCCAUUGAAGACGGCGGAACUGUGCUCACACCGAAGCCGUCAAUCGAACAAGUCUCAUUCUUUGCCAUAGGAGACGGCGGAACUGUGCUCAGACCGAAGCCGUCCGUUGAACAAAUCUCAUUCUCUGCCAUAGAAGACGGCGGAACUGUGCUUCCAACAAUUGUUCACGUAACUGUAAUUAAGAAAAAGGCAUCUCCUGCUCUUGCAACUAUAAGUUGCUGAUAACUUGCACCAUCUGUCGGAAUAAAAUAACUAUUCGUUGAUUUUUAAUUAUUCCAGAAUUGGUCAAAUACUUAUUCUUUGGUAUACCUAUGGGUAUAUACAAGAAUGGGUAUUUAACCAAUUUUAGGAAUAACAGAAAAAUUAACGAAUAUUCUAUAUUCAUUCCGAUAGACAAUUAUUUUAUAUAUUUUUUUAGACAAUUAAAAUAAUUUUAUUGACAUCUUGUCAAUACAUGCAAAGUGCACAGUCUGUACUAUUUAAAAAAUAGAUAAUAUGCAUAUACCACUAUAUACAAUGAAUAUGGCGCCUCUGCCAGCGCUGCAGAGUUUGGUGGAGAAUCACCAUCGGGUCUCCAGUAUCCAGUUCCGAUAGAUGACGCAAACCAUCAGUAACAUUUUACUUGCACAAUCAGGAGAUGCCUUUUUUUCAUAAUUUAUCUAUCUGAUCAUAGUACACUUUCAGUUUCGUACUAUUUUUCAUAUAAUAUAUAAAUUCAAUAAAAUAAUUCCUUGUAUUAUUAUUGAGUAGAAAUACCAGGCCUCCAGAUAAAAGUAUAUUUUCAAAAACCUUUUUAAUCUCUAGCUUUCGAACUCUCAGGGCCUGACUCAAGGCGGCUUUUAGCCCUUGAUGUAAUCUAGACGUCCCUCGGGGAAGACCUCGAAUUUGAUGUCAUGUAUAUAUUUGAUUAUAAAGCUGAUAGCUGUAAGCUUGUUGUAACUUUGUUUUUAUGUUAACUGGAAGUCAGUAAAGUAUAUUUCAAUCUCUAGCUUUCGACCAAGAACGCCCUUCUACAGGUGAAUAUCACACACUCACACACACACACAAAAGCCUUUAUUAAGACACACAGGUCUUACAGAGGAUUCUCCUUGGGGUUACAAGACGGAGAAACCUAUGAAAGUGGGAAAUAAAAAAUGGAGAAAGAUUAUAUACAUAUGGUAAAUAUAUACAGAUUAUAAGAAAGAAUAAAAAUGAGAAAAAAAAAUUGGAAAUAUGGAUGGGAGAAGUGGAGAGCGAAAAGAGGAAAGAAACAGGUAUGGAACAAGUCAAUUUAAGCUCUUCUGCUCAUACAGCACAGGUGGGCCAUGGCUAUUUCAAGAAAUCUUUAAGAUAUUUUCCAGGAAAAUCCGAGUGUUCAGGGUUGUAAGGUGCAGGUGAAUAUAUCAUGUUUUCUCCUUCUUCAAAUUAAAGACACUUCGACCAGUAAAUCUUUUUUAUUGUCUCUACGUUUCGAC
This is a non-coding RNA of Cordylochernes scorpioides, 10074 nucleotides long. The record is from the annotation of a GenBank genome assembly. NCBI's taxonomy places the organism in Eukaryota, Metazoa, Arthropoda, Arachnida, Pseudoscorpiones, Chernetidae.